Molecule: transfer-messenger RNA, 348 nt
Filed under: Monoglobus pectinilyticus
Lineage: Bacteria; Bacillati; Bacillota; Clostridia; Monoglobales; Monoglobaceae
Description: Standard tmRNA
Rfam family: transfer-messenger RNA
About the family: Bacterial tmRNA, also known as 10Sa RNA or SsrA, is named for its dual tRNA and mRNA-like properties. Its role is to liberate the mRNA from a stalled ribosome.
Source: Rfam by way of RNAcentral
GGGGGUGUAAUGGUUUCGACAGGGUCGUAGAGGCCUGAGGAGCGAGCCGUGGCGGGCGCCACGUUAAAAGCCCAACUUUAAAAUUAAACGCUAAAAAUAAUAACGUAGCUUUAGCUGCCUAGUUGCAGCUUGUCCGCCUGAGUUUACCGCAGACUCAGGUUAGGGCAUCAAUGAUGCGGUGAACGUGAGCCGGGAAAGCUUUGACCCGGCCAUGAAUUAAUGAAGCUACCGAGCUAUGCAGUUUGUCAAUGGACUGCACAGUAAGGGAAUUUUAACCAUUGACUACGCUCGUAGUGCCUCUUGAGGAUACUUCUUUGGACAGGGGUUCAAUUCCCCUCACCUCCACCA